This 158-nucleotide ribosomal RNA is filed under the name uncultured Thelephoraceae. RNAcentral's name for it is "5.8S ribosomal RNA". It matches the Rfam family "5.8S ribosomal RNA". From Rfam's summary of the family: 5.8S ribosomal RNA (5.8S rRNA) is a component of the large subunit of the eukaryotic ribosome. It is transcribed by RNA polymerase I as part of the 45S precursor that also contains 18S and 28S rRNA. Lineage: Eukaryota; Fungi; Basidiomycota; Agaricomycetes; Thelephorales; Thelephoraceae. The record is from RNAcentral.
CAACUUUCAGCAACGGAUCUCUUGGCUCUCGCAUCGAUGAAGAACGCAGCGAAAUGCGAUAAGUAAUGUGAAUUGCAGAAUUCAGUGAAUCAUCGAAUCUUUGAACGCACCUUGCGCCUUUUGGCUAUUCCGAAGGGCAUGCCUGUUUGAGUAUCAUG